GGGGCAGUAGCUCCGUGGUAGGGCUCCCGCCUCUUGCGCGGGAAGACCUGGGUUCGAUUCCCAGCUGCUUCC
RNAcentral lists this transfer RNA (72 nucleotides) under Toxocara canis (dog roundworm). It matches the Rfam family "tRNA". From Rfam's summary of the family: Transfer RNA (tRNA) molecules are approximately 80 nucleotides in length. Their secondary structure includes four short double-helical elements and three loops (D, anti-codon, and T loops). The record is from Rfam by way of RNAcentral. Lineage: Eukaryota; Metazoa; Nematoda; Chromadorea; Rhabditida; Toxocaridae.